Pocillopora verrucosa is the source of this 391-nucleotide non-coding RNA. Lineage: Eukaryota; Metazoa; Cnidaria; Anthozoa; Scleractinia; Pocilloporidae. The record is from RefSeq and is a predicted model, not a curated record.
GCUGCGAGAGCUGAACUAUGUGCAUGAUGAAGUAUAGAGCUUUACGGAAAUCAUCCCUGAACCCUCACAGAAGGUUCUUCUGUCCAUGUAAUGUGGGAUGGCAUUUUUUGAUGUGGUUGUCAAGAUGAAGUGACGCCGUACCCUUUUAGUGGAAUGGUGUGAGGACAUUUGCUUGUGCCCAGUGUCCCAUGUGAGUGUGCGAGACAUUAAAUUCAAUUUGGUUGCCCAAAAAUACCAUGCAAGAACCGUCACUCCUGGAAAUGGCUUGAGCCAAGACCUUUCAAUCCUGUGUCAGUGACUCAUGGGUAAGUCCUCCAAGCCAUUUUGCAAAUUUUUUAAACUUAUAAUCUACAGUAUAGGAAUUAAAAUUGUCCUGACACAUGUUAUUCAG